RNAcentral lists this ribosomal RNA (498 nucleotides) under uncultured bacterium. RNAcentral describes it as "partial 16S ribosomal RNA". It matches the Rfam family "Bacterial small subunit ribosomal RNA", at positions 30 to 523 of the family's 1533-position model. The record is from RNAcentral.
AUUGAACGCUGGCGGCAUGCCUUACACAUGCAAGUCGAACGGUAACAGGUCUUCGGAUGCUGACGAGUGGCGAACGGGUGAGUAAUACAUCGGAACGUGCCCGAUCGUGGGGGAUAACGAAGCGAAAGCUUUGCUAAUACCGCAUAAGAUCUACGGAUGAAAGCCGGGGACCGCAGGGCCUUGCGCGAACGGAGCGGCCGAUGGCAGAUUAGGUAGUUGGUGGGAUAAAAGCUUACCAAGCCGACCAUCUGUAGUUGGUCUGAGAGGACGACCAGCCACACUGGGACUGAGACACGGCCCAGACUCCUACGGGAGGCAGCAGUGGGGAAUUUUGGACAAGGGGCGAAAGCCUGAUCCAGCCAUGCCGCGUGCAGGAUGAAGGCCUUCGGGUUGUAAACUGCUUUUGUACGGAACGAAAAGACUCUUUCUAAUAAAGAGGGUCCAUGACGGUACCGUAAGAAUAAGCACCGGCUAACUACGUGCCAGCCGCCGCCGUAA